UACUAUACUAACAAGCAUAAGUAAUCUUAAAUUAUUAAUAGAUAUAAUCUUCAAACUUGAAGAAUUUGGCGGUGGUUUAGUCUUGUUAGAGGAACCUGUUUUUGAAUCGAUACACCACGCAUAAUUUUACUUAUUUUAUUAGUUUGUAUACCGUCAUUAUCAGAUAAUUUUAAAAGAAUUAAUUAUUAAUCGUUUAAAAAAUGAAGACUAAAUUAGAUCAAGGUGCAGCUUAUAAAUAAGCUAAAAUGGGUUACAAUAAAAUUUAUUUAUAUGGAACGAUAUUAGUAAGAUAAAUCAUGAAGGCGGAUUUAA
This 312-nucleotide ribosomal RNA is filed under the name Cyclodius obscurus. RNAcentral's name for it is "partial 12S ribosomal RNA". Lineage: Eukaryota; Metazoa; Arthropoda; Malacostraca; Decapoda; Xanthidae. The record is from RNAcentral.